This 4999-nucleotide long non-coding RNA is filed under the name Sus scrofa (pig). RNAcentral describes it as "lncRNA (ENSSSCG00035025201.1)". Lineage: Eukaryota; Metazoa; Chordata; Mammalia; Artiodactyla; Suidae. The record is from RNAcentral.
AGAAAUACCUAGAAGUGGAAUAGCUGGAUCACAGGAUAGUUCUAUUCUUAAUUUUUUGAGGAGCCUCCAUACUGUUUUCCAUAGUGGCUGCACCAGUUUACAUUCCCACCAACAAUGGUUCCCUUUUCUCUACAUUCUCUCCAACAUUUGUUAUUUCUGGUCUCUUUGAUGAUAGCCAUUUGGACAGGCAUGAAACUGGACAGCCACAGGCAAAUAAUGAAACUAGGAGUUCCCGUUGUGGCUCAGAAGGUCAAUGUUGUCUCUGUGAAGAUUUGGGUUCAAUACCUGGUCUAGCUCAGUGGCUUAAGGAUCCGGCAUUGCCACAAGCUGAAGCAUAGGUUGCAGAUGUGGCUUGGACUUGAUGUUGCUGUGGCUGUGGCAUAGGCCAGCAGCUGCAGCUCUGAUUCGACCCCUGGCCUGGUAACUUCCAUAAACUGCAGGUGCAGCUGUAGAAAAAAAAAAAAAAAAAAAAAAAAGAACGAAACUAGACCACUACACAUAAACAUUACCUCAAAAUGGAUUAAAGACCUAAAUGUAACACCUCAAACUAUGAAAUGCCUAGAAGAAAACACAGGUGGUGCCCUCACUUUCAUCAGUCUUAGUGAUGUUUUUGUGCUUCUGACUGCCCAGGCAAGGGCGACAAGAUCCCAGAUAAACAAAUAGGACAACAUCAAACCAAGAAACCUCUUUGCAGUCAGGGAGACUAUCAUAAAUCUGAAAAGGCAGCUUGCUGAAUGAGAGCAUAUAUUUGUGAACCAUUUAUCUGAUAAGGAUUAAUAUCCAAAAUAUAUGAAGAAUUCAUGCAGCCUAACAACAACAACAACAAAACCCAGACAACCUGGUUGAAAAAUAGGCAGAGGACCUAACAUUUUUUUUCCAAAAAAGACCUACAGGUGGCCAACAGGCAAGUGGAGGGAUGCUCAGCAUCAUUAAUCAUCAAGGAAAGGUAAAUUAAAACACAAGGAUUUUUUUUAAGGGCCACACCUGUGGCAUAUGGAAGUUCCUAGGCUAGGGGCUGAGUUAGAGCUGCAGCUGAAGACUAUGUAUGCCACAGCCACAGCAACACCGGAUCCAAGCCACAUCUGCAACAUACACUGCAGCUUGCGGCAAUGCUGGAUCCAUAACCCAUUGAGCGAGGCCAGGAAUUGAACCCACAUCCUCAUGGAUACUAGUCAGGUUCUUAACCUGCUGAACUACAACGGAAACUCCCACAAGGAGAUGAAAUUUCCAUUUCCAAUAUCUUUGAAAAGGAGAAGUUACUAGAUGUACAUAGAAAUGGCAAAACUGGGGAUGUUUGGGGAAAUCCAGUUCCUCCAACGUUGGAGAGGCAACCUGUGCUCUAGGCCCAAACUUCAGACUACGGUUAGACUAGGUUCUGGGGUCUUACCUUUGGUUGGGGCCGCAAGACAGACUGUCUGGGCAUAAUGGUAUUUGUGCGGAAAUGUCCAGUUAAAACAGGUCUUAAUGUUGUUACUCUUCAUGACUAAAGCAAUUAUGUAUUUUAAAUUCCAUUUUAUUUAUUUAUUUUUUCAAAGCAGAAAAGUCAAAAUGGAAUGGGCUCUGUUGAUAUUGAACUCUUAAUGCUAAUUACAGUCAAAUGAUCAUUAGUUCUGUCCUGGGUCUGCCAGGAAGUGCGUGUGAUGCUGGCGUGCCAGCUCCACCACGAUGGGACCUAGGCAGUAAUGGCAAGGGCAGUAAAAAGCAAAAAAGAAUGCUGUUGGCAAGGGCUUCAGAAACUGCUGAGAAACCGACUCUCAGCUGUGGCAUAUGGGUCUUGAGGGCGUGAGUCCAUUUCACUCCGGUAUCUUGGCAAACCCAGACCUUGGAAUGGAGCUUUCAUUUGUCCUAAACUAAGACAAAAGAGGCUGCUGGUGUGGCUGUACUCAGAAGAAUCUUUGGGGCCCCCAUCUGCACUAUGCUAUUGUUUGUCAGGGCUCUUUAGCUUGCAGAUGACAGAAAACCAGUGCAAAGUAGCUUAAGCAAAAAUGGGAGUUAAGUGACUCUUGUACAUGAAGAGAGCAUAUUCUGACUUCAGGAACAGCUUGAUCCCAAGCUCUGACAGGAUUUGGGGUUUCUGAGUCCAUUUCCUCUUUUAAUCUGUGUCCCUUAACCAUGCACUUAGGGUUCUCAGACGUGUUGCUAUCUCCCCAUUGACUUGACAUCUCUACAAUUAGGCUCAAAAGGCAACAGAACUUUAUACUCUCAGUUCUUGGGCUCCAUACUUUUCACUCGUGGAGAGGAUCCACCCAAAUCUUAACACCCUUCUUUUAGAAGCCAUUUCCUGAAGCCAUUUCCAGGAUCAAGAGUUUUCAGGUUCAGCUGAAUUUAUUCCCCAUGUAAGAGUGACCAUGCUUUUCAAGCAACUGGGGUAAGAAAAAAAAAAAAAUUCACUCAUCCUUUGCUGAAAGACCACCUCUUCUUCUUUACAGAGGUGCACUUUUGAACUUGCAGGCCUCUUUAUCCAGCCAGAUCUCAGAGCACAUUGCUUUCCUACUCAUUGCUAACACAAUGGGAUCCUAGUUUGUAGGUUUCCACAUGCUCUCCAUGGCUAGAUGGGUGGUCCACUCUGGAUCACUUAGAGAUCUGUUAUGAGUUGAAUUGUAUUUCCCCUAGAAUGUUAGAGGUCUGACCCCCCAGUACCUGAAAAUGUGACUUUAUUUGAAAAUGGGAUCUUUUUUUCUUCCUUCCUUCUCUCUUCCUCCCUCCAUUCCUUCCUCCCUCCCUUCCUUCUUUCCUUGUUUCUCCCUCCCUUCUUUCCUUCCCCUUCCUUCCUUCCCAUUCCUUCCUUCUUUCUUUCGUUUCUAUUAAAGUCUAGUUGAUUUACAAUGUGGUGCCAAUUUCUGCUGUACAGCAAAGUGACUCAGUUAUACAUAUAUAUCCCAGGAGAUGGGAUAGAGUUCCCUGUGCUAUACAGUAGGACCUCAUUGCUUAUCCAUUUAAAAUACAAAAUGUGCAUCUACUAACCCUAAACUCCAGUCCCUCCCACUCCUUCGCUUCUCCCCCUUGGCAACCACAAGUCUGUUCUCCAUGUCUAUGAGUCUGUUUCUGUUAUGUAGAUGGGUUCAUUUGUGCCAUGUUUUAGAUUUCACAUAGAAAUGAUGUCAUAUGGUAUUUGUCCUCUCUUUCUGACUUACUUCACCAGUAUGAUAUGAAGAUGGGGGUCUUUGUGGACGUAAUUGAUCAAAAGGAGGUCAUUAGGGUGGGCCCUGGUGUCCCUAUAAAAGGGAGAGUUUGGACACAAACACGCACACUGGAAAAGGGCAUGUGCAGCUGAGGCAGAGAUGGGGUGAUGUGUCUAUGAGUUGAGGAACGCUGCCAAUGGACCACCAGGACCUGGGGAGGGGCACAGACAGAUCCCCUCUCAUGCCUCAGAAGGAGCCACCCCUGCUGGGGCAUCUUAAUCUUGGAUUUCAGCCUCCAGAACUGGGGGACUCUUAGCCACGAAGUUUGUGGUACCUUUUUUUUUUUUUUUUUUUGGCAGCCCUGCAGACGCAAACAGCAGAACCUAACUCUGGUGAUCUCAAGAAGAGUCAUUUUCUAGAAGAAAAAAUGGGAAGGAGAGGCCUGGAGAGCCAGGGAGUAGAUAUGAAUGGAAGGCCCCUCAGGAUGCUUCCCCUGGGAGGGACCCCAGGAUAGAUGUGCUGCAGCCAUUGGUUUUGUGUUUGGGUGUCUCUGUUCGAGAUUUAAAUUCAGACUGACAAAUAAAUGUCUGAAUAAUCUUUAUUCAGAUUUAUAAGGACUGCCUGCUUAAUCAGGCUGACCUGGGUCUCUUUCUAGCCCUGUCACUGGUUCUCACCAGACCACAUUCAAAGCAAAGCCAGAUGCUUUGGCCGGAAGAAAGGUGAGCACAACCUCCUAGUGUCCUUUACGCCCUGUUGCUCUUCAGAUCCAGAUGCCCCUUUGUCUCUCUUUUCUUGCAUCAAAUCAUAGUGUUGGUGGCACAUCCCGGGGAAAUGCUGCUGUGUCCGGUAUGUUGGGGUUCCUAACGCCUCCAGGAGCCUCCUAGGGGGAGGGUUUUGUCUCCUGUGCCUUGUGUUGGCUCCUCAGUUCAAAGGGCCAGGGAUCCGGCUGCUGCCACCUCCUCACUUACGCUGUCCCAGUUGCCAUGCCCAGCCUUCAGGCAUUUUUGACUUGCUGUCCAGCCAGGGCUUGUCCCCAUCACCAAUUAGUAACCAGGCAACAGAGCCUUUGCCACUGGCAGAUGCUAUCAACAGAGAGCAGCCAGCUGCCCGGUUCAAAUGAAAGGGCUUUCUGAGAGGAGAUUGAUAAGGGUACAUGGCCACAGGUGGAGCUUAAUUUUUAACCUGUGGCCCUGGACGAGAUCUGGUUCCCAUGACGACAUGGCUUUGUCAGAUGAAGGCCAUGGAUGAAGUCAGUGACUAGGGAAAGUAGAGGCUGUUCACAUUAAAAAUCUUCUAGGCAGUUCAUCCAGAACUGUGGCUUCUAAAAUCCUGACUUGAUUGAGUUCCCUAUUUGAUGGGCGCUGGUAAUGCAUGUACAAAAGCUCCACUCUGUAAACUGGGGAAUUUUAGGUUUCUUUGAACUUGAGGGGUCUGUUCCCCAGGAGGUAAGAAAUCCAUCAUGACCAGGUAGGUAAAAGUCAUCAUUAUUUCAGUCUUGGAAGUAAUGAGGGUACAAAAUGCUCCAUAAUGUGCUGUGAUGAUAGGUUUUGUGAAACACUUAUUUUAUUCCAUAGGACUCCAUGCUCCCUGAAACCACAUUAAUUUGUUUGGGUGCCUGUGGUCUGUGUGACCUACUAUAAUAGAGACUUCACCAGGGCAGGGGAUUUGCCUUAUUUAUUCGGUUUUCCAAGCACCCAGAAUGUUUUCCCUGACACAUAGUAAACACAUCUAUUUGUUGACUAAUUGAUUGGAUGAUUGAAUGAAUCAUUAAAUGAGUGAAUGAAUACUAACAUAUUGGAAAAGCAUAUUUUUUUUUCCAGUUUUACCAAUUUGGUGCCAUAAAUCGAAGGUAAUUUCUGAGUAAUUUUAAAAAAUAG